Molecule: ribosomal RNA, 511 nt
Filed under: uncultured bacterium
Lineage: Bacteria
Description: partial 16S ribosomal RNA
Rfam family: Bacterial small subunit ribosomal RNA
Source: RNAcentral
GACGAACGCUGGCGGCGUGCCUAAUACAUGCAAGUCGAGCGGAAGUUGGAGAGCUUGCUCUUCAACUUUAGCGGCGGACGGGUGAGUAACACGUGGGCAACCUGCCCUGCAGAUCGGGAUAACUCCGGGAAACCGGUGCUAAUACCGAAUAGUUUUCGCCACCUCCUGGUGGCGUACGGAAAGACGGUUUCGGCUGUCACUGCAGGAUGGGCCCGCGGCGCAUUAGCUAGUUGGUGGGGUAACGGCCCACCAAGGCAACGAUGCGUAGCCGACCUGAGAGGGUGAGCGGCCACACUGGGACUGAGACACGGCCCAGGCGCCUACGGGAGGCAGCAGUAGGGAACCUUCCGCAAUGGACGAAAGUCUGACGGAGCAACGCCGCGUGAGUGACGAAGGUUUUCGGAUCGUAAAACUCUGUUGUGAGGGAAGAACAAGUACCAACUAACUACUGGUACCUUGACGGUACCUCACCAGAAAGCCACGGCUAACUACGUGCCAGCAGCCGCGGUAA